Acanthosepion pharaonis is the source of this 111-nucleotide non-coding RNA. Lineage: Eukaryota; Metazoa; Mollusca; Cephalopoda; Sepiida; Sepiidae. The record is from the annotation of a GenBank genome assembly.
UGCGGUCAUAUCACGUUGAAACACCGGUUCCCGUGCGAUCACCGAAGUUAAGCAAUGUCGAGCCUGGUCAGUACCUAGAUUGGUGGCCGCUUGGAAAUACCAAGUGCUAUA